Molecule: transfer RNA, 77 nt
Filed under: Prosthecobacter sp.
Lineage: Bacteria; Pseudomonadati; Verrucomicrobiota; Verrucomicrobiia; Verrucomicrobiales; Verrucomicrobiaceae
Also listed under: 1 other name
Description: tRNA-Asp
Rfam family: tRNA
About the family: Transfer RNA (tRNA) molecules are approximately 80 nucleotides in length. Their secondary structure includes four short double-helical elements and three loops (D, anti-codon, and T loops).
Source: RNAcentral
GGUCCGUUAGCUCAGCCAGCAAGAGCACCCGCCUGUCGAGCGGAAGGUCGCGGGAGCGUAGCCCGCACGGACCGCCA